Molecule: transfer RNA, 74 nt
Filed under: Mus musculus (house mouse)
Lineage: Eukaryota; Metazoa; Chordata; Mammalia; Rodentia; Muridae
Description: tRNA-Ala
Source: RNAcentral
AGUGAGGUAGUUCAGUGGGUAAAGACGCUUGCCUAGCCUGCAAGAGGUCCUAGGUUCAAGUCUCAGUACUACAG